UUAAGCGACUAAGCGUACACGGUGGAUGCCCUGGCAGUCAGAGGCGAUGAAGGACGUGCUAAUCUGCGAUAAGCGUCGGUAAGGUGAUAUGAACCGUUAUAACCGGCGAUUUCCGAAUGGGGAAACCCAGUGUGUUUCGACACACUAUCAUUAACUGAAUCCAUAGGUUAAUGAGGCGAACCGGGGGAACUGAAACAUCUAAGUACCCCGAGGAAAAGAAAUCAACCGAGAUUCCCCCAGUAGCGGCGAGCGAACGGGGAGCAGCCCAGAGCCUGAAUCAGUGUGUGUGUUAGUGGAAGCGUCUGGAAAGGCGUGCGAUACAGGGUGACAGCCCCGUACACAAAAAUGCACAUGCUGUGAGCUCGAUGAGUAGGGCGGGACACGUGGUAUCCUGUCUGAAUAUGGGGGGACCAUCCUCCAAGGCUAAAUACUCCUGACUGACCGAUAGUGAACCAGUACCGUGAGGGAAAGGCGAAAAGAACCCCGGCGAGGGGAGUGAAAAAGAACCUGAAACCGUGUACGUACAAGCAGUGGGAGCACGCUUAGGCGUGUGACUGCGUACCUUUUGUAUAAUGGGUCAGCGACUUAUAUUCUGUAGCAAGGUUAACCGAAUAGGGGAGCCGAAGGGAAACCGAGUCUUAACUGGGCGUUAAGUUGCAGGGUAUAGACCCGAAACCCGGUGAUCUAGCCAUGGGCAGGUUGAAGGUUGGGUAACACUAACUGGAGGACCGAACCGACUAAUGUUGAAAAAUUAGCGGAUGACUUGUGGCUGGGGGUGAAAGGCCAAUCAAACCGGGAGAUAGCUGGUUCUCCCCGAAAGCUAUUUAGGUAGCGCCUCGUGAAUUCAUCUCCGGGGGUAGAGCACUGUUUCGGCAAGGGGGUCAUCCCGACUUACCAACCCGAUGCAAACUGCGAAUACCGGAGAAUGUUAUCACGGGAGACACACGGCGGGUGCUAACGUCCGUCGUGAAGAGGGAAACAACCCAGACCGCCAGCUAAGGUCCCAAAGUCAUGGUUAAGUGGGAAACGAUGUGGGAAGGCCCAGACAGCCAGGAUGUUGGCUUAGAAGCAGCCAUCAUUUAAAGAAAGCGUAAUAGCUCACUGGUCGAGUCGGCCUGCGCGGAAGAUGUAACGGGGCUAAACCAUGCACCGAAGCUGCGGCAGCGACGCUGAUGCGUUGUUGGGUAGGGGAGCGUUCUGUAAGCCUGCGAAGGUGUGCUGUGAGGCAUGCUGGAGGUAUCAGAAGUGCGAAUGCUGACAUAAGUAACGAUAAAGCGGGUGAAAAGCCCGCUCGCCGGAAGACCAAGGGUUCCUGUCCAACGUUAAUCGGGGCAGGGUGAGUCGACCCCUAAGGCGAGGCCGAAAGGCGUAGUCGAUGGGAAACAGGUUAAUAUUCCUGUACUUGGUGUUACUGCGAAGGGGGGACGGAGAAGGCUAUGUUGGCCGGGCGACGGUUGUCCCGGUUUAAGCGUGUAGGCUGGUUUUCCAGGCAAAUCCGGAAAAUCAAGGCUGAGGCGUGAUGACGAGGCACUACGGUGCUGAAGCAACAAAUGCCCUGCUUCCAGGAAAAGCCUCUAAGCAUCAGGUAACAUCAAAUCGUACCCCAAACCGACACAGGUGGUCAGGUAGAGAAUACCAAGGCGCUUGAGAGAACUCGGGUGAAGGAACUAGGCAAAAUGGUGCCGUAACUUCGGGAGAAGGCACGCUGAUAUGUAGGUGAAGUCCCUUGCGGAUGGAGCUGAAAUCAGUCGAAGAUACCAGCUGGCUGCAACUGUUUAUUAAAAACACAGCACUGUGCAAACACGAAAGUGGACGUAUACGGUGUGACGCCUGCCCGGUGCCGGAAGGUUAAUUGAUGGGGUCAGCGCAAGCGAAGCUCUUGAUCGAAGCCCCGGUAAACGGCGGCCGUAACUAUAACGGUCCUAAGGUAGCGAAAUUCCUUGUCGGGUAAGUUCCGACCUGCACGAAUGGCGUAAUGAUGGCCAGGCUGUCUCCACCCGAGACUCAGUGAAAUUGAACUCGCUGUGAAGAUGCAGUGUACCCGCGGCAAGACGGAAAGACCCCGUGAACCUUUACUAUAGCUUGACACUGAACAUUGAGCCUUGAUGUGUAGGAUAGGUGGGAGGCUUGGAAGUGUGGACGCCAGUCUGCAUGGAGCCGACCUUGAAAUACCACCCUUUAAUGUUUGAUGUUCUAACGUUGACCCGUAAUCCGGGUUGCGGACAGUGUCUGGUGGGUAGUUUGACUGGGGCGGUCUCCUCCUAAAGAGUAACGGAGGAGCACGAAGGUUGGCUAAUCCUGGUCGGACAUCAGGAGGUUAGUGCAAUGGCAUAAGCCAGCUUGACUGCGAGCGUGACGGCGCGAGCAGGUGCGAAAGCAGGUCAUAGUGAUCCGGUGGUUCUGAAUGGAAGGGCCAUCGCUCAACGGAUAAAAGGUACUCCGGGGAUAACAGGCUGAUACCGCCCAAGAGUUCAUAUCGACGGCGGUGUUUGGCACCUCGAUGUCGGCUCAUCACAUCCUGGGGCUGAAGUAGGUCCCAAGGGUAUGGCUGUUCGCCAUUUAAAGUGGUACGCGAGCUGGGUUUAGAACGUCGUGAGACAGUUCGGUCCCUAUCUGCCGUGGGCGCUGGAGAACUGAGGGGGGCUGCUCCUAGUACGAGAGGACCGGAGUGGACGCAUCACUGGUGUUCGGGUUGUCAUGCCAAUGGCACUGCCCGGUAGCUAAAUGCGGAAGAGAUAAGUGCUGAAAGCAUCUAAGCACGAAACUUGCCCCGAGAUGAGUUCUCCCUGACCCUUUAAGGGUCCUGAAGGAACGUUGAAGACGACGACGUUGAUAGGCCGGGUGUGUAAGCGCAGCGAUGCGUUGAGCUAACCGGUACUAAUGAACCGUGAGGCUUAACCUU
RNAcentral lists this ribosomal RNA (2902 nucleotides) under Escherichia coli. Its description in RNAcentral is "bacterial LSU rRNA". It matches the Rfam family "Bacterial large subunit ribosomal RNA". Lineage: Bacteria; Pseudomonadati; Pseudomonadota; Gammaproteobacteria; Enterobacterales; Enterobacteriaceae. The record is from RNAcentral.